GACGAACGCUGGCGGCGUGCUUAACACAUGCAAGUCGAACGGAAAGACCCUGCUUUUGUGGGGUGCUCGAGUGGCGAACGGGUGAGUAACACGUGAGUAACCUGCCCUUGACUUUGGGAUAACUUCAGGAAACUGGGGCUAAUACCGGAUAGGAGCUCCUGCUGCAUGGUGGGGGUUGGAAAGUUUCGGCGGUUGGGGAUGGACUCGCGGCUUAUCAGCUUGUUGGUGGGGUAGUGGCUUACCAAGGCUUUGACGGGUAGCCGGCCUGAGAGGGUGACCGGCCACAUUGGGACUGAGAUACGGACCAGAGUCGUACGGGAGGCAGCAGUGGGGAAUAUUGCACAAUGGGCGGAAGCCUGAUGCAGAAACGUCGCGUGCGGGAUGACGGCCUUCGGGUUGUAAACCGCUUUCGCCUGUGACGAAGCGUGAGUGACGGUAAUGGGUAAAGAAGCACCGGCUAACUACGUG
This 468-nucleotide ribosomal RNA is filed under the name uncultured bacterium. RNAcentral describes it as "partial 16S ribosomal RNA". It matches the Rfam family "Bacterial small subunit ribosomal RNA", at positions 28 to 507 of the family's 1533-position model. The record is from RNAcentral.